RNAcentral lists this ribosomal RNA (253 nucleotides) under uncultured bacterium. RNAcentral describes it as "partial 16S ribosomal RNA". It matches the Rfam family "Bacterial small subunit ribosomal RNA", at positions 524 to 776 of the family's 1533-position model. The record is from RNAcentral.
UACGUAGGGCGCAAGCGUUGUCCGGAAUUAUUGGGCGUAAAGAGCUCGUAGGCGGCCUGUUGCGUCCGCUGUGAAAUCCCGGGGCUCAACCCCGGGCGUGCAGUGGAUACGGGCUGGCUGGAGGCAGGCAGGGGAGAACGGAAUUCCUGGUGUAGCGGUGAAAUGCGCAGAUAUCAGGAGGAACACCGGUGGCGAAGGCGGUUCUCUGGGCCUGCACUGACGCUGAGGAGCGAAAGCGUGGGGAGCGAACAGG